Molecule: ribosomal RNA, 537 nt
Filed under: uncultured bacterium
Lineage: Bacteria
Description: partial 16S ribosomal RNA
Rfam family: Bacterial small subunit ribosomal RNA
Source: RNAcentral
UGGGGAAUAUUGCACAAUGGGCGAAAGCCUGAUGCAGCAACGCCGCGUGCGGGAUGACGGCCUUCGGGUUGUAAACCGCUUUCAGCAGGGACGAAGGUUUUCUGACGGUACCUGCAGAAGAAGCACCGGCUAACUACGUGCCAGCAGCCGCGGUGAUACGUAGGGUGCGAGCGUUGUCCGGAAUUAUUGGGCGUAAAGAGCUUGUAGGCGGUCCGUUGCGUCGGAAGUGAAAACUCAGGGCUUAACCCUGAGCCUGCUUUCGAUACGGGCGGACUUGAGGGAUGUAGGGGAGAACGGAAUUCCUGGUGGAGCGGUGGAAUGCGCAGAUAUCAGGAGGAACACCAGUGGCGAAGGCGGUUCUCUGGACAUUUCCUGACGCUGAGAAGCGAAAGCGUGGGGAGCAAACAGGCUUAGAUACCCUGGUAGUCCACGCCGUAAACGGUGGGCACUAGGUGUGGGACCCAUUCCACGGGUUCCGUGCCGUAGCUAACGCAUUAAGUGCCCCGCCUGGGGAGUACGGCCGCAAGGCUAAAACUU